UACGAACCGUACGAACGUUAUUCGGAAUCACUGGGCGUAAAGAGCGCGUAGGCGGCUCUGCAAGUUGGGUGUGAAAUCCCUCGGCUCAACCGAGGAAUUGCGCUCGAAACUGCAUGGCUUGAGGGAGAUAGGGGUGAGCGGAACUGAUGGUGGAGCGGUGAAAUGCGUUGAUAUCAUCAGGAACACCGGUGGCGAAAGCGGCUCACUGGGUCUCUUCUGACGCUGAGGCACGAAAGCUAGGGGAGCGAACAGG
This 253-nucleotide unclassified non-coding RNA is filed under the name uncultured Pirellulaceae bacterium. RNAcentral describes it as "contains 16S-23S intergenic spacer region". It matches the Rfam family "Bacterial small subunit ribosomal RNA", at positions 524 to 776 of the family's 1533-position model. The record is from RNAcentral. Lineage: Bacteria; Pseudomonadati; Planctomycetota; Planctomycetia; Pirellulales; Pirellulaceae.